Molecule: ribosomal RNA, 497 nt
Filed under: uncultured bacterium
Lineage: Bacteria
Description: partial 16S ribosomal RNA
Rfam family: Bacterial small subunit ribosomal RNA
Source: RNAcentral
GAUGAACGCUGGCGGCGUGCCUAAUACAUGCAAGUCGAGCGAACAGACGAGGAGCUUGCUCCUCUGACGUUAGCGGCGGACGGGUGAGUAACACGUGGAUAACCUACCUAUAAGACUGGGAUAACUUCGGGAAACCGGAGCUAAUACCGGAUAAUAUAUUGAACCGCAUGGUUCAAUAGUUAAAGACGGUUUUGCUGUCACUUAUAGAUGGAUCCGCGCCGCAUUAGCUAGUUGGUAAGGUAACGGCUUACCAAGGCGACGAUGCGUAGCCGACCUGAGAGGGUGAUCGGCCACACUGGAACUGAGACACGGUCCAGACUCCUACGGGAGGCAGCAGUAGGGAAUAUUCCGCAAUGGGCGAAAGCCUGACGGAGCAACGCCGCGUGAGUGAUGAAGGUCUUCGGAUCGUAAAACUCUGUUAUUAGGGAAGAACAAAUGUGUAAGUAACUAUGCACGUCUUGACGGUACCUAAUCAGAAAGCCACGGCUAACUACGUG